Molecule: small RNA, 131 nt
Filed under: Spisula solidissima (Atlantic surf clam)
Lineage: Eukaryota; Metazoa; Mollusca; Bivalvia; Venerida; Mactridae
Source: RNAcentral
GUGUGAUGGAUGUCGGCAUUGCUGACUGCCUUCCCGCUGUUGCCACCCAAACUUUUCGACAACAGUUCUCUACGACUGAGGCUACUAGGCCGGGGAGCAGGGGCCGACGUGUCUUAGCGGACUAGUUCCUC